UUCUUCUGUCUCCUAGCCCCUCUCUCCUCCACUGCUGGUCCUACUAACUCUGACUCCUACUAACUUGAAGACACUGGAAAAUUACCUUCCAGUCUUGCACACUCCUCUGCUGCCCCUCUUUUCCCAUUCCUCUUUCCUUCCCAUCAUACUCAUCACCCUUUGCCUUCCUGUUUACAUCAGCCUCCCCCAUUCAAACUCUCUUGGUUGUCUAGAUAAAUUUCAUAUACUGAAUUACAGCUGCAGACCAGAGCCCAAGACACCUGUGUCUGAUUCCUGCCAGUGUUCAUGAGCUUUUGUGACUCAGCCCCUUUCUGAUUCUCCUUCCUCAUCUAUGAGCUAAAGCUGGGAAAAACAUCAAAAGGGGUGUUGUGUUCCUUGGGUUCAGGGCACAAUAUAAAUCCAGGGAGUGAUUGCUGUUAACCUCUUCUGUGAGAAGUUGAACUGGCCAAAUUUUCUGGUGGAGGCCAUUGGCUGCCUUUCUUGGCUGUAACAUGCCAUUUUUCCUGAAUUUAUUCCCCCCUUUUCCCUCCCAGGGAAUGAGAUGUGCUUGGCACAGGAGCUGCAAUCCAUGCAAUAUUAUUAUUAGACAACAAACAGUGUCCAUGAAUGAUUUAAACACAGGCAGAGCUGCUGAUAUUGAUUUAUUUUAAGCUCUAUAAAGAAUUGCAUGGAGAUUAUUUUAAUGGGAAUUAUUAGGUUAUCCAUGGAGGAAUCUUCAAAAGUACCCCUCUGCAACAAGGCAAAUAGUGAAGUUUUUGAUUUGCUGGGGCUCUUUUGGGGCUCCAUGCCCUGGGCUGCCUCUGCCAGCAGCACUGGGAGGGACAAGGCACUGGCUCUGGGGGUGUAAUUUCUCUCAGUUCCCCCCUGUAAUGAAAACAAAACUGCUGCCUUGCUGGAAGGAACAGAGAGUAAAGCCUGGGAGGGGAUGAGGAGCAGACUGUGCAGACACUGAUGGAUGCUGUAAUAUUGUCCUCUCUUCUCCCUGGAGUUUCAUGUGCUGAACAGCUUCUGGCAGAGCCCUUCCUCCUCUCCUGCCUGCUUUCCAUGCCCAGUGAUCUCCCUCCUUUCCUUUCUCACUUUCUUCCUGUCCUCUUAAAUCUUCCCUGCUGGCCUGAUGUUUCCAGCCCUCCACUUUCUGAUUCUCACAUCCUAUCUCCACGUCUCAUUAGGCCUUCAGGACAGAAAAUAUCCACUUGACCUUCCUUAACAAGCCAGCCUAUACUGGUGGACUUUGCUCUGGCUGAGGAACACUCACAGCUCUUCAACCCACGCUUUACUGCAGAGAGAUAAAGAAACAUUGCAGAAAAAUGCCUAAGGAGAAGGCAAAAGUGAGUGAGUCCUCCUGCACUGAAAUGUCUUGGUGAAGACAGAAGACUUUCAACACACCUUUGUGUUGACUUAGGAGCACUGAACAGAGAGAUUUAAAAACCAAAUCCCAUUUUAACAGUCACCUACAAACCUCCAGGUCCAGCUUGGAAACCUGCUCAGAAGGUGCCUCUGCACGUGCAAGCCUCUCAUCCUGCACAGCUUUUGAAAUUAAUUGAGAAUUUAAUGCACUGGAAUUGGAUCUAAUCUCCUGGAUGCUGUCCUCUGCUCCAACGAAUGGCAAAAAUUAAAAAUAAGCUCCUUUGCAGAGCAAGAUGUCUGAAAAGCAGGCCCAAACCCCAGACAGUGAGCAAAGCUGGUGAGAAUUUGAGUUAUCCAUGUGUGGAGAGAGGUGCAGGAACAUGGGAGCAGGAAACAGGAGCAGCAGAAGCCUCUGGCACCACACAAAAGAGGAGAGACCUGACUUUCUGUGGCCAGAGACACUUUCAGUUCCCAGGGGUCACUUGAAAAGAAGCCUUUUGUAAUAUGAA
This is a non-coding RNA of Taeniopygia guttata (zebra finch), 1856 nucleotides long. NCBI's taxonomy places the organism in Eukaryota, Metazoa, Chordata, Aves, Passeriformes, Estrildidae. The record is from RefSeq and is a predicted model, not a curated record.